GAUGAACGCUGGCGGCGUGCCUAAUACAUGCAAGUCGAGCGAACAGACGAGGAGCUUGCUCCUCUGACGUUAGCGGCGGACGGGUGAGUAACACGUGGAUAACCUACCUAUAAGACUGGGAUAACUUCGGGAAACCGGAGCUAAUACCGGAUAAUAUAUUGAACCGCAUGGUUCAAUAGUGAAAGACGGUUUUGCUGUCACUUAUAGAUGGAUCCGCGCCGCAUUAGCCAGUUGGUAAGGUAACGGCUUACCAAGGCAACGAUGCGUAGCCGACCUGUGAGGGUGAUCGGCCACACUGGAACUGAGACACGGUCCAGACUCCUACGGGAGGCAGCAGUAGGGAAUCUUCCGCAAUGGGCGAAAGCCUGACGGAGCAACGCCGCGUGAGUGAUGAAGGUCUUCGGAUCGUAAAACUCUGUUAUUAGGGAAGAACAAAUGUGUAAGUAACUAUGCACGUCUUGACGGUACCUAAUCAGAAAGCCACGGCUAACUACGUG
This 497-nucleotide ribosomal RNA is filed under the name uncultured bacterium. RNAcentral describes it as "partial 16S ribosomal RNA". It matches the Rfam family "Bacterial small subunit ribosomal RNA", at positions 28 to 507 of the family's 1533-position model. The record is from RNAcentral.